Long non-coding RNA from Musa acuminata AAA Group (dessert banana), 2476 nucleotides. RefSeq lists it as uncharacterized. The transcript has 3 exons. NCBI's taxonomy places the organism in Eukaryota, Viridiplantae, Streptophyta, Magnoliopsida, Zingiberales, Musaceae. The record is from RefSeq and is a predicted model, not a curated record.
UUGGCUAAGAUCAAGUGUAGUAUCUGUUCUUAUCAGUUUAAUAUCUGAUACGUGGGUCAUCGAUCCACUAUGAUAUUAAAUUAAUUUAUUGUGGGGGAGGGUCCGCUACAAUGGCUUGCCAUUGGGUCCCUCGCGCGUCGCCUGUGCGUUGCACUACUGCACGGGCCUGGCGCACCCCGACCAAUCCGAAGUCUAAGCAUUAUUAAGGCCCGAUUAACUGACAAUAUUCAGUGACCUGGCGCACCCCGACCAAUUCUAAAGUCUAAUCACCAUUGGGGCCCUCGUGCGUCGCCUGUGUGUUGCACAACCGCAUGGUCAUGUCGCACCCCGACCAAUCCUAAAGUCUAAGCAUUUAUGAAGGGUCGAUUAAGUGACCAUAUUCAAGUGAUGUAUAGAUUUGAUCACCGCUUUUGUGCGAUUUGUUGGUAAAGUCGUGGCACGCAGAAGGCUUGCAAGGAAGAUUAGAUGUAGGAUGGGGAAUAUGCUUUGGAUUGUUGCUGUUCCGUCCGGUAUUGCGUUUGAUGUUUGCUCCGAUGUUCGAUACCGAUUGCUUCAGCGCUCCGUUGCGCAUCCUGCGCCAGGAGAAGAGCAUGAGCGAUGUCUGGAAUGUGUGUCACAGCUUAAAGAAUCCUAAAAUUUCAUGGGUUUGACAUGUUGUUGACAGAUAAUAAGUCCGCCGACGAGGCUGAAGGGGAGAUUUCCGAGCUGGGGGAUGAAGCCGGGUCUGGUCUCGUAUGAUUGCACGGAAGAUGGAAGAUGUCUACUGUAAGAGUCGCGGGAGGGAGAGGGCUUAUGAGGUGGUCGAUAAAAUGCGGGCGGACCCUGUGUAUCACAGCUUGAAGCAUGAUCUUAACCUUAAUCUUUAGAUGUUUGACAUACUGUUGUCGGAUUGACAGUACGCCGUUGCCUAGGGUUUCUUCCAGGAGAUGUUGGAGCUUGGGGGUGAAUCUGGAUCUGGCCUCGUACGAUUGAACGGAGGAUGUCUACUGCAAGAGUCGCGGGACGGAGAAGGCACACGAGUUAGUCGAUAAAAUGCGUGAAUAAGAUUUAUGCCCGGAUGUAAUCACACAGACUGACCGAUAAAGCUAGAGAUGUUCUGAAGGAGAAGAGAGAGAGAGAGAGAGAGGAUGCCACCAUGGCGUUGCCGUGCUCUGCAUUGUAAAAGACAUGGCUUUGCUUUGAUUGAUGUGAUGGUGGAGAGGCAAUUGCUUCCAAAUGCCAUGAGCUAUAAUCUGUUCUUCAUGUACUGUUAGGCUAUGAUCAUAGAUGAUGGACGGCUGUUUGUCGAACAUUGUGUUUCAUGUUUCUCAUAAGGUUGUUCCGUCAGCAGGAGAAUGCCAUGCGGCAGAAAGGUUUGGGAUCGUUCAUACUGGUUUUCCAUGUAUUGUUUGAUCUGAUUUGUGAUGCAGGAAUAAUUGAUGAGGCCAAGCAAUGUUACAUUUUAGAAGGAUCAAGAUUCUGAUGGAACCAGCAAAUAAGCAGCAGUCUCUUUGGAACAGUAGAUGAAUCACUCAAAGAAGUAACAUCAUCCUUAUUGCUGCACCCUUGUUGAUGCAACUCUUGAUGAUGAAUCAAUUGAGGAAUGACUUGCAAGGAGCAAAAAGGCCUUCAUCAUGAAUCUUUGGUGUCAAGAGUCAACCUUCGAACGUAGCCCACCAUUUCGGACACGAGUUGGCGAAGCAAGCGUGGCUAAAAAGCUUGGAGCCGAGCCGAUUGACUUGUGAGUGGCCGGCUUGGUGGUUCGCAGAACACGAGCCCUCCCCACCAACCCACCACGUGCGCAACAGCUGCCCGCCCACAAAGACUUUGACUCAGCGUUUUCCCUAAAAGUCAAUGGAAUAAACUGCUUUUUCUUCCACUUCAUAAUUCUUGUGCAAGUUAUGCUAAUUCUUAGAAAAUAAAUUUAGUGAUGUUAAUUAAAAUUAAUUAUUGGAUUAAAAAAUUAAGGUAUCAAGACUUCCUUUUGACCACUCUUUAUGAGCCUUCAUUGUCUGAGAUUACCAUUUAAUAACAAAUAAAUAAAACAUGAAAUAUGAUCCGAUUAAGAAGAAUGAUUUAUCUUAGGUAAUUUUGCCUAGAAUAAUAUUACAUGUAGAAAAGUAGGUUGAAUGAUAAAUAGUCUUCUCUUACCUCCCUUGUUAAUUCAGAAAAAUAUUUAAGCAGCUAAUUAACUAGACAAGUAGAAGUGAUUAGUUAUGUGAACUAAUUUAGUGUUAGAUGGGUCAGAGUGACCUAAUUGUGGACAGAAAGUUGUGGUGAUGACAUGUUAGGAAAAACCUAAUGUUCUUAAGAAAGUUUGGUGCCAUGCACAAACACAGACUAUGCUUUCAACACUGUGCCUCCAUUUGUUUGAUUUGGCAUGAAUAAUGCUUUCAUCCCAGGAGAACAAUGAUGAAGCUGGUCCUGGAUGGCAUCUUUCUAUAUCAUUAAUUCAUGCUCUUAAUGAAGGAUUGUUUUGGGUGUCUUUUGGCAGCAA